GAUGAACGCUGGCGGCGUGCCUAAUACAUGCAAGUCGAGCGAACGGACGAGAAGCUUGCUUCUCUGAUGUUAGCGGCGGACGGGUGAGUAACACGUGGAUAACCUACCUAUAAGACUGGGAUAACUUCGGGAAACCGUAGCUAAUACCGGAUAAUAUUUUGAACCGCAUGGUUCAAAAGUGAAAGACGGUCUUGCUGUCACUUAUAGAUGGAUCCGCGCUGCAUUAGCUAGUUGGUAAGGUAACGGCUUACCAAGGCAACGAUGCAUAGCCGACCUGAGAGGGUGAUCGGCCACACUGGAACUGAGACACGGUCCAGACUCCUACGGGAGGCAGCAGUAGGGAAUCUUCCGCAAAGGGCGAAAGCCUGACGGAGCAACGCCGCGUGAGCGAUGAAGGUCUUCGGAUCGUAAAACUCUGUUAUUAGGGAAGAACAUAUGUGUAAGUAACUGUGCACAUCUUGACGGUACCUAAUCAGAAAGCCACGGCUAACUACGUG
This 497-nucleotide ribosomal RNA is filed under the name uncultured bacterium. RNAcentral describes it as "partial 16S ribosomal RNA". It matches the Rfam family "Bacterial small subunit ribosomal RNA", at positions 28 to 507 of the family's 1533-position model. The record is from RNAcentral.